This 289-nucleotide unclassified non-coding RNA is filed under the name rhizosphere metagenome. Its description in RNAcentral is "partial ribosomal RNA internal transcribed spacer region". The record is from RNAcentral.
GUAGGUGAACCUGCGGAAGGAUCAUUAACACAAGUACAUUUUACCCAAAAUGUAUUUUUCACCCCAUUGUGCAAACUUGUUCUCCAGUCUUCCCGGGCGUGCUCGCUGCCUGCUCUGCUUUCUUUUUCUUAGAGAGCGUUGUAUGUAUGCUGUGCGCGCCUGUUGGCUAACAAACUUUAUUUCACCCCUUGAACUGUCUUUUGACUGACAUCUGAGUACGAAACUUGUUUUUGUACUCUGCCAUAUAUCAAACGCUGAACAACUCUUAGCAACGGAUAUCUUGGCUCUC